UUGAACGCUGGCGGCAGGCCUAACCCAUGCCAGUCGAACGGUAGCACAGAGGAGCUUGCUUCUUGGGUGACGAGUGGCGGACGGGUGAGUAAUGUCUGGGAAACUGCCCGAUGGAGGGGGAUAACUACUGGAAACGGUAGCUAAUACCGCAUAACGUCGCAAGACAAAAGGGGGGGACCUUCGGGCCUCUGGCCAUCGGAUGUGCCCAGAUGGGAUUAGCUGGUAGGUGGGGUAACGGCUCACCUAGGCGACGAUCCCUAGCUGGUCUGAGAGGAUGACCAGCCACACUGGAACUGAGACACGGUCCAGACUCCUACGGGAGGCAGCAGUGGGGAAUAUUGCACAAUGGGCGCAAGCCUGAUGCAGCCAUGCCGCGUGUAUGAAGAAGGCCUUCGGGUUGUAAAGUACUUUCAGCGGGGAGGAAGGCGACACGGUUAAUAACCGUGGCGAUUGACGUUACCCGCAGAAGAAGCACCGGCUAACUCCGUG
Molecule: ribosomal RNA, 489 nt
Filed under: uncultured bacterium
Lineage: Bacteria
Description: partial 16S ribosomal RNA
Rfam family: Bacterial small subunit ribosomal RNA
Source: RNAcentral